Molecule: transfer RNA, 71 nt
Filed under: Sphaerodactylus townsendi
Lineage: Eukaryota; Metazoa; Chordata; Lepidosauria; Squamata; Sphaerodactylidae
Description: tRNA-Asp
Rfam family: tRNA
About the family: Transfer RNA (tRNA) molecules are approximately 80 nucleotides in length. Their secondary structure includes four short double-helical elements and three loops (D, anti-codon, and T loops).
Source: RNAcentral
GGGGUCAUGGCUCAGUGGGAGAGUAUCUGCUUGUCACGUGGAAUGCCCAGGUUCACUUCCUGGUAUUUCCA